Molecule: non-coding RNA, 75 nt
Organism: Myotis lucifugus (little brown bat)
Lineage: Eukaryota; Metazoa; Chordata; Mammalia; Chiroptera; Vespertilionidae
Source: Rfam
GGCAGUUCUUGGGUGACACACCCCAGAAUCAGGCUCCCUCCUCUCUGGUUCCGGGUCCAUCACCUGAGAAUCACA